UACGUAGGUGGCAAGCGUUAUCCGGAAUUAUUGGGCGUAAAGAGCGCGCAGGUGGUUUAUUAAGUCUGGUGUAAAAGGCAGUGGCUCAACCAUUGUAUGCAUUGGAAACUGGUAGACUUGAGUGCAGGAGAGGAGAGUGGAAUUCCAUGUGUAGCGGUGAAAUGCGUAGAUAUAUGGAGGAACACCGGUGGCGAAAGCGGCUCUCUGGCCUGUAACUGACACUGAGGCUCGAAAGCGUGGGGAGCAAAUAGG
Molecule: ribosomal RNA, 252 nt
Filed under: uncultured bacterium
Lineage: Bacteria
Description: partial 16S ribosomal RNA
Rfam family: Bacterial small subunit ribosomal RNA
Source: RNAcentral